UACGGAGGGGGCUAGCGUUGUUCGGAAUUACUGGGCGUAAAGCGCACGUAGGCGGCUUUGUAAGUUAGAGGUGUAAGCCCAGGGCUUAACCCUGGAAUUGCCUUUAAGACUGCAUCGCUAGAAUCGUGGAGAGGUGAGUGGAAUUCCGAGUGUAGAGGUGAAAUUCGUAGAUAUUCGGAAGAACACCAGUGGCGAAGGCGACUCACUGGACACGCAUUGACGCUGAGGUGCGAAAGCGUGGGGAGCAAACAGG
RNAcentral lists this ribosomal RNA (253 nucleotides) under uncultured bacterium. Its description in RNAcentral is "partial 16S ribosomal RNA". It matches the Rfam family "Bacterial small subunit ribosomal RNA", at positions 524 to 776 of the family's 1533-position model. The record is from RNAcentral.